RNAcentral lists this transfer RNA (65 nucleotides) under Amblyomma triguttatum (ornate kangaroo tick). RNAcentral describes it as "tRNA-Thr". Lineage: Eukaryota; Metazoa; Arthropoda; Arachnida; Ixodida; Ixodidae. The record is from RNAcentral.
GUUAAAAUAAUUUAAAAAUUAAAAUAUUGAUUUUGUAAAUCAAACUUGAAAUUAUUCUUUUAACA